CACAUCAUGAAAGCCGGUCGUACCCGAAGUCGCCGCUGCCAACUCGCAAGAGAAGCAGGCGCCGAAGGUAUGGCUGGUGAUUGGGAUG
RNAcentral lists this ribosomal RNA (88 nucleotides) under uncultured bacterium. RNAcentral's name for it is "partial 16S ribosomal RNA". The record is from RNAcentral.